UUGGUCUUUGUAGGUGGCGGUGCAAGUGGAGGGCGGUGCUGACAGAGGUGGCAGAGGCGGUGGCAGACCUAAGGGAGUUAGGGGCGGCACGGACUAGGGUUUCUUUUUGUUUUUCUAUUUUUUGGGUAUUGAACUAAUUGGGCUUGAAUUGGGAAAUUUUAGUUUUGGGCAUGUCUGGUUUUUGUUGGGUCUGUAAUUAGUUUAGUUUGGGUUGUAAUGGGGUUUAUUGGGUUUAAUUCUUUAUGGGCCCCGAGCAGAAUUGGCCCACAACAAGGGCAUAUGACUUGAAUUUUGCAAAUUUAAAUUUUAAAAUUACUAUUUGCUGCGGAUUUAGA
RNAcentral lists this long non-coding RNA (335 nucleotides) under Gossypium raimondii (Peruvian cotton). RNAcentral's name for it is "long non-coding RNA (GRAI_LNC010925)". The record is from RNAcentral. Lineage: Eukaryota; Viridiplantae; Streptophyta; Magnoliopsida; Malvales; Malvaceae.